AUUCGGUCUCCAGACAACGUAAAACUGUAAACCCCGCCAGGUCCGGAAGGAAGCAACGGUAGCAGUGACUGCGAGUGCUUGGCAAGGCUGGGUUUG
This 96-nucleotide signal recognition particle RNA is filed under the name Gammaproteobacteria bacterium GWE2_37_16. Its description in RNAcentral is "signal recognition particle sRNA small type". It matches the Rfam family "Bacterial small signal recognition particle RNA". Rfam says of the family: The signal recognition particle (SRP) is a universally conserved ribonucleoprotein involved in the co-translational targeting of proteins to membranes. Archaeal SRP consists of a 7S RNA and homologues of the eukaryotic SRP19 and SRP54 proteins. Lineage: Bacteria; Pseudomonadati; Pseudomonadota; Gammaproteobacteria. The record is from RNAcentral.